RNAcentral lists this ribosomal RNA (523 nucleotides) under Macrotyphula phacorrhiza. Its description in RNAcentral is "partial large subunit ribosomal RNA". It matches the Rfam family "Bacterial large subunit ribosomal RNA", at positions 1542 to 2090 of the family's 2925-position model. The record is from RNAcentral. Lineage: Eukaryota; Fungi; Basidiomycota; Agaricomycetes; Agaricales; Phyllotopsidaceae.
UCAUAAGUUUGACGACAAGAGGCGCCGCAGGCCAAACCUUUAUCGUUUUGAUCCAGACCUAUAAUAAUAAUAUAGGGCUGAUGCUUACCACCUUCCAACAACAACCUACCAACAUCGAAAGUAACAUCGAAAGAUGUAAGUAGGUAGGUAGUAAGUAAAGUUGGUUGGUAGGUUAGUUAGCCGAGGUUAAAAUAGUAUUGGUCCAGCUGGGUGGUGGCACAGAAUAGGAGGCCCCGACUGUUUACUAAAAACAUAAGAGAAAGCAAUCACUAAGGUGAUAGUAUUUUUUCUGAAAUUUGCCCGAUGUCAUUAAUAUAAAGUCGAACAUGGAACACUGUGAUCAACUGAAAAUCUGAUUAAUAGCGGUCUUAACUAUGAGGAUCCAAAGGUAGCAAAAUCAUUUGGCCAUUAAAUGUGGUCCGGUAUCAAUAAUGUAACGAUGGUCUCACUGUCUCUACAACUUGCUCAGUGAAAUUGAAUUACGCGUGCAGAUGCGCGUUGCCUUCAGGGGGACGGGAAGACC